AACAGUGCGCGGUCUCUGAGCGCGAUCUCUGAGCGCGGGCUAAACGCGUCGAGGAGACGCACAAAGAAAACGGUACGGGGAACUAGUUCGACGAAGUCGAGCGAGCGUUCUCGGGCGCGCGCGACGUGUACCACGAACAAUACGAUAUUCUAGGAGGAAACGGUGUAGAAGAAGGUAGAGAGGCGGAGGAGACCUCUCGGCGGGAACCGAGUUGGCAGUGGGAAGAGGAUAGGCGGCGGAGGGCGGAGAGGGCAGAGAGAGAGCGGAGGAGAAGGAGAAGAGGACGGCAGGAGGGCUGGCGAAGCACGUGAAAGGCGAUUUAAAGGAAAAAAGAAGGAGGUAGUGGCCUUUAAAAAAAAAAAGAUGAAGAAGGAAGGAACAUGGCGAACCGGUCGCAGCCUCCAUUCGUCAGCUGGGUGCUCAGCUGCAACCGGACGCGGUGACCUCGGACGCGGCUUCACGGAAAACCAAGUGAAUUUGCAAGCAAUAACGGUGUCACGCAGUGUUCGUGUCUCUCUCGUCGGUGAUUUAACGUGCUUUCGUACUCCGUACACCCGCGCUAACUCGCGCACGCAUGCACGCACGCACCUAUCAUGCUACUUUUCUACACUUCUCCGCUCGCUCUAGGAUCGCUCAUCCGUCUUCUCUACGUGUCCUCUCUCGCUUACCACUUAGACCAGUCGCCGUUCGGGAAUUUUUAAAUGCCAGUAACACACGAAGUUUCCUCUCUGACCCGACAACACUCUGUAAACGCGGUCAUCGGUCGCCUUACAAGUGAUCGAAAGUACACCCCGGCCGACUGACAGUUCAACGACAUUCGCGUUUACCAUUGCGCCAGGAACACGCUUUCCUUCGCGUAGCGUUUCGAACCGUGUACGCUGCUGGGGCUGCAACGAAGGUUCGAACAGUUCUACUGCGAAGGUGUUCUCGAAAUAAUCGUCGCCGUGAUAAACAAAUCACUGGGAAUCGGUACACUGCGGUGACGAACGAUUGGAAACAAGAGACACUCAUGGAAUAUUACAAUUCGGAUGUAAGAGGUUACAAGCUUAGUAUCACAAAUGUAAACUGCACGGUAUUUACGGUAACCUUGUAUCACGAUUCGCAACGAUGCUGGAAAUAGGGAACUCGAAUAAGGAAGAAAGACACGAGAAAAGGUCGAGAAUGUUUUCGGAAGAAACACUGUAAACCGGUCGGUGCGUUCGUUCAUCAGCUGAGAGGCCAGCUGAACCCAACGGCCGCUGUAACCUCAACUUUUCUAAUAGGCUCUGUUUCGUAGGGAACGAUUAAUUGUCGCCGCGGUUAUGCCAUGCUGAUAGAGAAAGCGAAGAAAUACCUUGGUGUACAGGUUUCAUCGACGGGUGAACCACAGAACUCGCAAAAACACUAACUUUCUGGAGAUAAAACUUUUUGAAAGCCCACUCACAAUGGAAUCUUCCAGUAGACUGGCCGAGCCGGCAAGCCGUUCCCUCUUGCGUGCACACCCACCGUUCCGUGCAAUGUCUCGCGUUUUACACAGCCGGAACCUUUUCUCAUGGACCGAUUCGAUUUUCAGAGGUGUGGAACGGUACGCGGGGAUCACAGCCCGUCGUUUCGUCACCUUAGAAAACUCUUAUUUGCAGCAGAAACGCGGCGGUGCGCAUACCGCUGACAGUUCCCGAGCUGUCACUUCACGACGAGCACGGACCUGCUGCCAUCUUAAGCCGCGACCAGGAAACAGGGCUCCGUUUGAAAGAACCGCUCUCCGACUCCGACCACCUAGCAACAAGAUCAAUAGACUAACUUACAACAAGUCGAGCAGCUCCCGAUGUAUCCUAUAGUGUUCUUAUUAAUUAUUUAAUAGAGCCAUAUUAUGUCCACGA
Non-coding RNA from Megalopta genalis, 1859 nucleotides. NCBI's taxonomy places the organism in Eukaryota, Metazoa, Arthropoda, Insecta, Hymenoptera, Halictidae. The record is from RefSeq and is a predicted model, not a curated record.